Molecule: ribosomal RNA, 454 nt
Filed under: uncultured organism
Description: partial 16S ribosomal RNA
Rfam family: Bacterial small subunit ribosomal RNA
Source: RNAcentral
CGUACACUCCUGCGGGAGGCAACAGUGGGGAAUAUUGGACAAUGGGCGCAAGCCUGAUCCAGCCAUGCCGCGUGAGUGAUGAAGGCCCUAGGGUUGUAAAGCUCUUUCACCGGUGAAGAUAAUGACGGUAACCGGAGAAGAAGCCCCGGCUAACUUCGUGCCAGCAGCCGCGGUAAUACGAAGGGGGCUAGCGUUGUUCGGAUUUACUGGGCGUAAAGCGCACGUAGGCGGACUAUUAAGUCAGGGGUGAAAUCCCGGGGCUCAACCCCGGAACUGCCUUUGAUACUGGUAGUCUUGAGUUCGAGAGAGGUGAGUGGAAUUCCGAGGGUAGAGGUGAAAUUCGUAGAUAUUCGGAGGAACACCAGUGGCGAAGGCGGCUCACUGGCUCGAUACUGACGCUGAGGUGCGAAAGCGUGGGGAGCAAACAGGAUUAGAAACCCUAGUAGUCCCAUGA